Cyprinus carpio (common carp) is the source of this 4754-nucleotide long non-coding RNA. RefSeq lists it as uncharacterized. The transcript has 4 exons. The record is from RefSeq and is a predicted model, not a curated record. Lineage: Eukaryota; Metazoa; Chordata; Actinopteri; Cypriniformes; Cyprinidae.
AAGAAAUUGACUCAGUAUAUAAUUUAAGACAAAAUCCAUUUCAGAAAAAAACAUCUCCUAAGUACUUUAUUUAUUUUUAUCUUAACUACAGAAAUAAGAAACGGUUUUAGAGAAGCAACUUGACCAGUUCUAAAUAAAAGAAAAAAAAAAUUAAUACCUUUAGAAUAUAACUCUGGUGUCCUACCUCAAAACUCAAUAACAAUCACAUUAUAGCCCUGUCGGAGAUACAUGUAUAAGAAAAACAGCGAUGUUUGAUGGUGCAAAGACUUUUGAAAAUCCCAGGGGACGUGCAUCUUUGACUGCAGAACCCUAAAAAGAAUUAGGCUAUUUGUAAGUCCUACAGUAUUCCGGCAGAACUUGAAUUAAAAAGCGUUUGUCCCCCGGUUCCCGGACUUCCAUCUGAAUCAUCGCCGUCAUGUGUUUAGCGGGAAAGUAUUUUUUCUAGGAACCAUUUAGGUCUUUCAUCGUUGGUAUGGUGUUGGAAAACAAAACGACUGAAUUUUUAAUCAGUGUAAUAUUGAUUUUAAGUAAAUUCUUUAUCCAUAACUGUAAGUGUAUGAAAACAAAACCUUACUUUUAUUUUUUUAAUUUUUUUCUCUGUGUUUAAAAGAGAUUUGUUUGUAGUUAUUUUCCAUAAUUUAAAUGUAUGAAUAAUAAACAGGCCUGCAAAUUUGCUGGGAGGUUAAGAGUCUUUGGCUCAUUGGAAGAUGAAUGAAAAGACCCCUGUGUUGUUCCCUUUUUCCACUGAUGGAUGGAAGUUCAAAAGGUUGAAAGUUUUAAAUGUUGAGCUCUUUAUACAGAUGUAAAAGAUGCACAUUCUAUAUUAAAAUGGUUUUUAACCUAAAAAAAAUGAGUAGGGAUUUUGACUAAUGUGUUUAUAAUUAUAUACACUCACAUGAGAUAAAGAUAAUUAUUUUUUAUAUACAGUAUAUUCUCCAUUUACUGUCCUCCAGAAGCUACAAAAGAUACUUAGGCCUGCAUGUUUCCCACAAGAUAAAAAAGCACGCAAAAUAUGAGGGGUCCCCCCACUCUAUAUAAAGCAGUGCUUCUACGUCAUCCAUUCAGAAUCUUUACUGAAGCACUUGGCAUUCUAAGAUCCUGAGCUUGGUGACACGGCAAUAAGAGCAAUGUCUCAAUCCCUCAUCUCAGGAAACCGAGGUUACGUGAGUAACCGAGAAAGUUCCCUUUCGAUUCGGUCACUCUACAUUGCUAUGGGAAUGUAUAAAAUUCCGCCGUGUCACAGCAAUGGUGCCUGGCUCGACUUAAGUAUGUCAAGUUUCACAUACUAUAUAACUAUAUAGAGCGCUUUGUAUAAAUGCGCACUGCACGUACAGGGCACAGCAAAAGUGUAUUAAGCGGUUCCGUCCUGGCCAGUUUCGCGACGGAAAGCAGAUAGUGUUAUGACCUGCGCUUUAAAUGGAGUCGAAAGCACUUUAGGCACAUAACCCUUUCUAGGCUUUAUGUUGAGCCUGUAAUCACCUGUCCCGAACUCAAUACACGAGUUGUCAAUUGACAGUGCCUGCAGAGAGAGCGCACACAAGCUCGCUGAUUGUAUGAGCUCGAACGGGCCUUUUAUUUUAUUUUUUAUUUUUUAGGCUCUUGAAGGAAGGCAAGAAUUAUUGGCAUUGGGUAGCUGAAUGGGUCUUCGCCCCACGACCCGUACCAAUUUAUGAAAACUCUCCUCAGACAUAGUGUUCAACACGUGCUGAGGAAGUGGAUCUGUUACAGGCCAGCCCCGUCAAGCGGCCAGACAUGAAGAAGGCUCCAUGACUCUGGAUUUGGAUGCUAUAACGUUAACUUCAGAGAGGAGGCACAGUUCCAUGCAUGCAUGUAAACGUACAAGGGGCCGGGGAUAAACCAAAGAGUAGGACCGUGAAUUGGUAUGCCAUCCCCUCAAAUGCAAAUCUCAGGAAAUGCCUGUGGUGAGGGGCUACCUGAAUGUGAAAAUGAGCAUUUUUUAAAUCCACAGAGAUAAACCAAUCUCUCAGUCUGAUGUGUGAGAGGAUUUGUCUCAGCGUAAUCAUUUUGAACGAGCGCUUGGAAAUCGCGCGAUUCAGCGUUCUCAGGUCCAAGAUUGGGCAGUGUCCGCCAUCUUUCUUUGGUACCAGAAAAUAGUGACUGUAGAAGCCACUCUUGCGGUCUGCUAGGAGCACUGUCUAUACAGCGCAUUUUGUCAUGAUUCAAUAAGGCUUCAGUAGUAAUUGGAGAAAAGGGUAAUUCCCAUGGCAAUGUAGAGUGACCGAAUCGAAAGGGAAAGCACAAUUUACCCUGGUCAUCCAAUUCAAAAAUGUAUCUUAAUACAUUGUGUAUUUACUCUUUGAUUUGAAUGGAAACAAAGCACAUCCUUGUGGCACAGCUGACACAGAAUAGCGUAUGCAGUUUGCGUACAGAGGAUGUUCUCUAGAAUGGCGCUACGGUGAUGUGGAGAGACACAGAGGAGACAAAUUGUUGAAUAAAGUCGUUAUUUUUGUUUUCAUUGCAUACAAAAAGUAUUUGCGUCACUUCAUAAAAUUCAAAUUGAACCACUGAUGGCAGAUGCAGUAUUCUGACAAUGUCUUUCAUACUUUUCUGGACCUUGACAGUAACAUAAGGAAUCAGAAGUACGCUGAUGAACGAGAUCCAGGAAAACUAUGGCAGCCCAACGGAGAUCCGAUUUUGAAACUUGCUCAACUGGCUUUCAAACAGCUGAAAAAAGGCAAUAUCAUGUUCUAUGAGGAGGAUCUGAAAGAGUACGACAUAGAUGUAAUUGAUGCCUCAGUGUAUUCUGGGAUUUGCACAGAGAUAUUUAUGGAGGAAUCUGUGAUUCAUCAGAGGAAAGUCUACUGCUUCAUACAUCUGAGCUUUCAGGAGUUUCUUGCUGCUAUUUUUGUUUUUUUAUUGUUAUGUAAUUAACACUAUGGCGGUACUAAUGUUUUUUGAUUCUCUGCAUAAUUUGCUCAGAGGAGCAGUAGAUGAAACCUUAGAAUGGACACCUGGAUAUUUUCCUCCGGUUCCUGCAGGGCAUCUCACUGGACUCCAACCAGAAACUCUUACAGGAUCUACUGACCAACACUCACAGCUGUUCAAGGAGCAUUGAGAAAACAACUGCUUAUAUUAAAAACAAAAUUAAACAUGGAUAUGAUCUUUCAACUGAAAGAUCUAUCAGUCUUUUUCUUUGUCUCUUUGAAAUGAAAGACCAGACUAUGUACAGAGAGAUCCAGGAGUUUCUGAAAUCAGACAAACACUCAGAAAAUAAACUCUCUUCUGCAAUUUGCUCAACAAUCGCUUACAUGUAUCAGAUGUCAGAAGAGGUGCUGGAAGAACUUGAUCCCAAUAAAUUUAAUACAUCAGAAGAAGGUUGAAGAAAACUCUUACCAUUUGAGAAAAAAUUCUUCUUUAACUUAAGCUAAUGAAUGCUGCGUCUUAUAUUUGAACUACCUUAUGCAGAUGUUUGUAGAUCUAUUUUAAAUUUUUUUUUUUUGGCUUUCUUAUAGUCUUGCUGACUGUAAUCUCACUGAUAAAUCCUGUGAAAUUGUGGUCUCAGCUCUACAAUCAUCAAACUCUGUCCUGAGAGAGCUGGACAUGAGUAACAGUGACUUGCAGGAUUCAGGAGUAAAGCUUCUGAUGGACUGAAGAGAUCAAACUGUCAACUAGAGAAACUGAGAUUGUCUAGCUGUAUGGUGACAGAGGAAGGCUGUUAUUGUCUGGCCUUAGCUCUUGAGUUCCAACCCCUCACACCUGAGAGAGCUGGAUCUCAGCUACUGGAAACUCCUGAGUAAAGAUGCUCUCUGAUAGACUGAACCAUCCAAACUGCAAACUGGAGAUACUUAAUUUUUUCCAUGGAGAGUCCUUCAAAAUCACACCAGGACUGCCGAAAUAUGCCUGUGACCUCACAUUAGAUCGAAACACAGUAAACACUCAUCUCAUUCCAUCUGAGAACAACAAAAAGGCAACAUAUUUGGAAGAGGAGCAGCCAUAUCCUGAUCAUCCAAAGAUUUGAGCAGGUUAUGUGUAGAGAGAGCCUGACUGGACACUGCACCCUCAUUCUGUUCUAACAUAAUAGGAGUGUAUCUAGAUCAGGCAGCUGGCUCUGUCUUUUUACAAUGUUUCCUCUGAAACUGGCAAAAUGACCCAAUUUACACCAUCAACUCAACAUUUACUGAGCCCCUGUAUGCAGGAUUUGUUGUUGGGUUGACCAUGGAUCAUGGAUGUGUUUAUGUUAAGUACAGAAGCUGUGAAGAAUGUGUCAGACACACCUGAACCAGCUAAUCAAGGUCUUCAGGAUUACUUGAAAACAAAAGUUAGGUGUGUUGGAGCAGGCUUGAGUUGAACUCUGCCGGACUGUGACCCUCCAGGAGCAGAGUUUCACACCCAUGUGCUAAAAUAUGCUUAAAUUAUUUAUUUAUUAUGUUGGUGUGAUAUGUCUGUAAGUGACAUCACAUUAUUAAAACUAUGUUUUAUUUAAAAUAGCUAAUUUUAGAGUGAGUUUAAUGUGCUUUUCUCCCAGUGUGUAACUUACGUAUGACUGUUAUAUACUUUUCUGUAAAUAACUGUGUGUGUAUAUAAAUGCUUGUAUAUAAAUGCUUGUAUUUCCGUUUUGCAUAUCAGGUGAUCAUGACAGUAAGCGAGCUAAAUAUUGUUUAAUAUAAGCAUGUCAAACAGAAAUCACAGUCAUUACAGUUAUUUUAACUAUUUGUUGUUGGAGGUUACAUUUAUUUAUAUUUAAUUGCAAUAGUAUUGUAAGAAAAAAUAAGUGUUUUAAAAUUACAGAGAAA